Molecule: non-coding RNA, 28 nt
Filed under: Mus musculus (house mouse)
Lineage: Eukaryota; Metazoa; Chordata; Mammalia; Rodentia; Muridae
Source: RNAcentral
CUUCUAGACACGGAGUGGGAGAGGCCGC